RNAcentral lists this microRNA (23 nucleotides) under Callorhinchus milii (elephant shark). RNAcentral describes it as "eshark_NOVEL_108". Lineage: Eukaryota; Metazoa; Chordata; Chondrichthyes; Chimaeriformes; Callorhinchidae. The record is from RNAcentral.
CUAAUGGCUUCAGGCUGUCACUC